This 487-nucleotide ribosomal RNA is filed under the name Escherichia coli. RNAcentral describes it as "partial 16S ribosomal RNA". It matches the Rfam family "Bacterial small subunit ribosomal RNA", at positions 1 to 477 of the family's 1533-position model. The record is from RNAcentral. Lineage: Bacteria; Pseudomonadati; Pseudomonadota; Gammaproteobacteria; Enterobacterales; Enterobacteriaceae. RNAcentral also lists the same sequence under 2 other names.
AAAUUGAAGAGUUUGAUCAUGGCUCAGAUUGAACGCUGGCGGCAGGCCUAACACAUGCAAGUCGAACGGUAACAGGAAACAGCUUGCUGUUUCGCUGACGAGUGGCGGACGGGUGAGUAAUGUCUGGGAAACUGCCUGAUGGAGGGGGAUAACUACUGGAAACGGUAGCUAAUACCGCAUAAUGUCGCAAGACCAAAGAGGGGGACCUUCGGGCCUCUUGCCAUCGGAUGUGCCCAGAUGGGAUUAGCUUGUUGGUGGGGUAACGGCUCACCAAGGCGACGAUCCCUAGCUGGUCUGAGAGGAUGACCAGCCACACUGGAACUGAGACACGGUCCAGACUCCUACGGGAGGCAGCAGUGGGGAAUAUUGCACAAUGGGCGCAAGCCUGAUGCAGCCAUGCCGCGUGUAUGAAGAAGGCCUUCGGGUUGUAAAGUACUUUCAGCGGGGAGGAAGGGAGUAAAGUUAAUACCUUUGCUCAUUGACGUUA